This 251-nucleotide ribosomal RNA is filed under the name uncultured bacterium. RNAcentral's name for it is "partial 16S ribosomal RNA". It matches the Rfam family "Bacterial small subunit ribosomal RNA", at positions 100 to 353 of the family's 1533-position model. The record is from RNAcentral.
GACGGGUGAGUAAUGUCUGGGAAACUGCCUGAUGGAGGGGGAUAACUACUGGAAACGGUAGCUAAUACCGCAUAACGUCGCAAGACCAAAGAGGGGGACCUUCGGGCCUCUUGCCAUCAGAUGUGCCCAGAUGGGAUUAGCUAGUAGGUGGGGUAACGGCUCACCUAGGNGACGAUCCCUAGCUGGUCUGAGAGGAUGACCAGCCACACUGGAACUGAGACACGGUCCAGACUCCUACGGGAGGCAGCAUG